AUGGGCAACGUGAAUCUUUGGAGAUCUGGUGCUGAACGUUCCCCCAAGCAGGGAAACUUAGACUUUCAAGGAGUUGUUGCAAAGAUCUUAGAUGUGUCAGUAACAGAAUUAGAAGAACUCAAUAGUUAUACUAUUGAUGAAUGUGAAGCUGAGUUGCAGAGGUAUUUAUCUUACAUGACCAAGCCCUCAACGGAAACUCACCUGGCCCAAGAGGUAAUGGGUGAGUUGGCUCUACUCUGCCACCGCAAGGUGCAGCUGAAGGCUGCAGAGUACGAAAAGAAGCUCUUCCUUGUGUGCAGUGGCUACAAAGCUGAGCAGGAGACUGUUUCCCACCUUAAGCAAAGUCUCUGGGUAACGAAACAAGAGCUGGAGCAGCUCCGGGAAGAUAAGGAGAGAUUGCAGCAGGACCAUGACGCCCUACAAUCUAGUCUCCUAGUGGCCCAUCAAGAGGUUGAGAAAGCCAGGAGGAAGAGCCAGAGUGAUCAGGUAGACACGGCAGCCAGUCCAAGGAGACCAGAGCUGACCAAGUCAGGCGUAGAUGGUGAGAGUAGGCUAGCUCCCAGGAAGGCUGAGCAGCCCCUGCCUCUUGACAGCCAAACAAACCGAUCACAUGCAAAGCUGCAGAUGCCCAAAGCAGGCGCAGUGGCUCUCGCCCAGAGGCUAGAGACCCCCCAGCCACCUCCUUACGAGCACCAGCUCAGUACAGCUACUUGUGUUACCAGUGAGAUAGCCAAAGGCAAAGGUUUUCAGACCACUACAGUGGCUGAGUACAGGGACACUAGCACUCCAGUGCACAGGAAAGCAUCCAGAGCAAACUUGUUUUACUCCCCCUCAUGCACUGAGGACAGGAAUGCCCCCACUCUGAGGAGGGAAAACUCACCUGAGAACCAGAGUGACAGUGGUAGGUUGAGCCCCCUGUUGGAGAAAGCACCUCGUCUCAAACGCAGGAAGCAGCGUCGGGUUCACCCACGUUACAGCGACCAGUGGGACGACACAGGCUCAAGUGACUCUGAUAGUGCUUAUCCUUCCCCAAACUUAGGUUUGCGCCUACGCCAGCUUGAAUCCCUAGCCAAGGACAUUGAGUGCUUUGACCCCAAGAGCCAUGAUUCUACCAUAGACGACUACUUGCAGGAAGUCGAUCGUUGCUUAUUGGACCUCCCUCAUGCAACAGCUCGCGAGAAACUAAAGCUAAUCUGGAAGACUACACCCAGGAGUGUCCAUGUCUUCAUGGAAACACUCAAGCCUGCCAUUCGGGAUCAAUACUCUUCACUCUGUCGAGCUUUAAGAGAAGAAUAUGCCCCAUAUUCUGAUCCGGCAGCAACUAUCUUUGAAGCGUUCAAUAUCUUACACAAAAGAAAUGAACCUCCCAAAGAAUAUUACAGGCGCCUCAGAAAGACCUACUUCCAAGGACGGAAUACACCAGGUCUAGAUGAAGACAGUACAUUCCAGUCCUUAUUCCUGCAUAAUCUCCAUGACAGCAUCCAAUUUGAUGUCGCCAUGCACUGUAAGACAGGCAGGCGCACAAUGCAGGGAGUUGUGAGAUAUGCCCAGCUGGUAUGGGAAACGCGUGUACGCCCCAUUAGGAGACCUGUAGUGGACGCCAGAGUUUUUAGCAUCCAGACCCAGCAAAAGUCUGACUUGACACUUGAAGGCCACGAAAUGCCUCAUGCUAAGAGAAGCAGACGAGGGCAAAGGAGGACUCAAAACCGCAGGUCACGUCGCCAGCAGGUUGACACAGCCAACCGGGAAGAUGAGCCUCUUCAACGCUGUAAUUCAAGGCCAAAACAACCUCGUUCCCACCCACGAGGGGGAAGAGGUCGGUUCAGACAGAACUUGAACCAUAGGUACAGGGACCACAGUCCAGUUCACCUGUCACGGGAAGACUCAGAGCUGGACAUUGUAAGUCUGGUACGGAGAUGCGUGGAGGAAGCCUUAAAAGAACUUGACAGGCCUAACAGUUCGGCUGCUCCUUCAGACCUCUCAACAGAAGCCAGACACUGA
Molecule: long non-coding RNA, 2001 nt
Organism: Betta splendens (Siamese fighting fish)
Lineage: Eukaryota; Metazoa; Chordata; Actinopteri; Anabantiformes; Osphronemidae
Source: Ensembl